AUGGAGAAUCAGGUUUUCACGGAGGUUCUUACUGCGGGUGAUAUGUAAGGAAGAAUUCACCAGGGAGGAAGGGCCCACGAUGGUGAUGUGCCUGCUUCACAAGCCUGCAAAUGAGUAAGGAAACACAAGCCUCUGAGGGCAAGGAAAUCGAAAGAGUGUAAAGGGGCACAUUUUACAGCUACACCUUCACCCACUUUGACUGUGUCUUGGGAAGUUCCUGAUUUCUAAAAGAUCCAAAGGGCCAGAGGGACACUGUCUUCCAUGGGAAAGGAAGCAUACAAAAGGAACAGAAACUUCUCUGCAAAGCAUCAGUACAAACCCACUGGCCUGGAAUGAUAUUUAUCCUCUUAAUUAUGUUUUGCAAAAGACUGAUAAUAAAAGCAAUUUUCUAAGGAAAGGCUGAAAAAGUGUUUCAGAAUAA
Mus musculus (house mouse) is the source of this 421-nucleotide long non-coding RNA. RefSeq annotates it as predicted gene, 31505. The transcript has 3 exons. The record is from RefSeq and is a predicted model, not a curated record. NCBI's taxonomy places the organism in Eukaryota, Metazoa, Chordata, Mammalia, Rodentia, Muridae.